UACGAAGGGGGCUAGCGUUGCUCGGAAUUACUGGGCGUAAAGGGCGCGUAGGCGGAUAUCUAAGUUGGGGGUGAAAUCCCGGGGCUCAACCUCGGAAUUGCCUUCAAAACUGGAUAUCUUGAGUUCGGGAGAGGUGAGUGGAACUCCGAGUGUAGAGGUGAAAUUCGUAGAUAUUCGGAAGAACACCAGUGGCGAAGGCGACUCACUGGCCCGAUACUGACGCUGAGGCACGAAAGCGUGGGGAGCAAACAGG
Molecule: ribosomal RNA, 253 nt
Filed under: uncultured bacterium
Lineage: Bacteria
Description: partial 16S ribosomal RNA
Rfam family: Bacterial small subunit ribosomal RNA
Source: RNAcentral